Molecule: ribosomal RNA, 301 nt
Filed under: uncultured bacterium
Lineage: Bacteria
Description: partial 16S ribosomal RNA
Rfam family: Bacterial small subunit ribosomal RNA
Source: RNAcentral
CAGCCGCCACGGUAAUACGUAGGUGGCAAGCGUUGUCCGGAAUUAUUGGGCGUAAAGGGCUCGCAGGCGGUUUCUUAAGUCUGAUGUGAAAGCCCCCGGCUCAACCGGGGAGGGUCAUUGGAAACUGGGAAACUCGAGUGCAGAAGAGGAGAGUGGAAUUCCACGUAUAGCGGUGAAAUGCGUAGAGAUGUGGAGGAACACCAGUGGCGAAGGCGACUCUCUGGUCUGUAACUGACGCUGAGGAGCGAAAGCGUGGGGAGCGAACAGGAUUAGAUACCCGAGUAGUCCCUGUCUCUUAUAC